Chelonia mydas (Green sea turtle) is the source of this 731-nucleotide long non-coding RNA. RefSeq lists it as uncharacterized. The transcript has 3 exons. The record is from RefSeq and is a predicted model, not a curated record. NCBI's taxonomy places the organism in Eukaryota, Metazoa, Chordata, Testudines, Cheloniidae.
CUUGCCCUGAAAGGAUUAAUGAAGAGUGAGAAGGGGGCUAGUUAACCCAACAGGACACAGCAGAGACAAUCAGGUGGCUAAGCAAUCCCCUGAUUGAAUGAGGGAGCCCAGCUGAGGAGGAAUGAGCUGGGCUGGGACUAUAAAGGCAGGAAAUUGGCAGCAGAAAGGGGCUGCUAGGAAAGUCUGUAGUCACUCUCUGAGAGAGGGGAGGUACCAGGAGGGUAGGAUGGGGCUCAGGGAAAGUAGUAAGGCCUAGAAGGGAACAGACCUUGAGUGCUGGCUAGAGGGUCCCUGACCCAGAACCUGGAGUAGAGGGGGAGGGCUUGGGUUCUUUCCCAUCCUUGAAUGAUAUGGGAAAGACUUGAAUGGGUGACCGCCACAGAUUUUCACCUUGGCGUUUAUACAUCAUGGCAUGCCUCAACAAGUAUUAAAAAGCUGAGCUUUGCGUGGAAACGUGGAAGACUUGGGUGCAUUCUACUGAAUUCUUUUCAAUGUGCAUAUUUAAAUGAGGACCAGCGAUGGAACUUGGGGCCCCAGCCAAUGGCCUGGAGAAUGGAUACCCCAGCGACUAGUGACCUGGUGACCGGAGGGCCCAGCUCAGAAGUCACAGCCAGUUCUGGCCAGUGGGAGGACAAUGGGCUGUGAAGAUGUGACAGAUUUCUGUUACCAAUCUGCCUGAAGCAUCAGGUGAUCAGUCUGAGGCCACAGGAUCGUUAAGGGAGGAGAUGACG